This 259-nucleotide long non-coding RNA is filed under the name Homo sapiens (human). RNAcentral's name for it is "HSALNT0011362". Lineage: Eukaryota; Metazoa; Chordata; Mammalia; Primates; Hominidae. The record is from RNAcentral.
GAGAAACUCUCUGGCCUGUUUCUGAAAAGAUUACUUCUCAUCCCUCCCCUCCCUUGACACCCCCUCCUACCAAUGCCCGCUUUCCCCUUUAAAUAUUGAUAGUAUCACACUAGCCGCUUCCUAAUGUAACUGUGGCUGGCACUCUGCAGAGGCAAGGGGAGCUGCAGGUUCUGUAGCAGGAAAAUAUGUUUCCAAAUCACCAAAGCCAAGAGUUUAGUAGAAGCAACACAAUUUUUCCCUGCUUCAUCUUUGUAGAGGU